RNAcentral lists this ribosomal RNA (371 nucleotides) under uncultured Glomeromycotina. RNAcentral's name for it is "LSU rRNA". The record is from RNAcentral. Lineage: Eukaryota; Fungi; Glomeromycota.
UUGAAAGGGAAACGAUUGAAGUCAGUCGUACCUGCGGACAAUCAGCCUUUCGGGUGCGAUUAUGUGGAGCGUGGGGAGCUAAACACCUUCAUGCCUGCGUAUUUGUAUUCUGGGGUGUACUUGGACGUGCGGUAGGUUAACAUCAAUUUCGGACGUCAUAAAAUGGCUGGAGGAAUGUAGCUUCGGUCUCGUACUGAAGUGUUAUAGCCUUUGGUAGAUGUGAUGACCGGGAUUUAGGAUUGCAACGAAUACCUUUUGGGCUAUCCGUCUGAUCUCUGAAAGUUGCUCUGGUGCCGAAAGCUUGCUUACGGUUAUCAAAGUUGACGUUCAAAAGGUUAGAACGGGUUAAAUUCGUUAAGGAUGUUGACGUA